Molecule: long non-coding RNA, 118 nt
Organism: Egretta garzetta (little egret)
Lineage: Eukaryota; Metazoa; Chordata; Aves; Pelecaniformes; Ardeidae
Exons: 3
Source: RefSeq, a predicted model, not a curated record
CAGUAGCUCCGCCUUCGCUGUAUCUUCUGUCACCAGGGCACCCAUUUCAUUCAGCAGCGGUCCCACAUUACCCCUAGUCUUACGUUUACUGCUGAUAUACUUGAAGAAUCUAUUCUUG